GGAUGCGAUCAUACCAGCACUAAAGCACCGGAUCCCAUCAGAACUCCGAAGUUAAGCGUGGUUGGGCGAGAGUAGUACUGGGAUGGGUGACCUCCUGGGUAGUCCUCGUGUUGUAUUCC
Triticum aestivum (bread wheat) is the source of this 119-nucleotide non-coding RNA. The record is from Rfam. NCBI's taxonomy places the organism in Eukaryota, Viridiplantae, Streptophyta, Magnoliopsida, Poales, Poaceae.